UGCACCAAUAUUUGUAAGUCGCUCUGGAUAAGAGCGUCUGCUAAAUGACGUAAA
Salmo salar (Atlantic salmon) is the source of this 54-nucleotide non-coding RNA. The record is from Rfam. NCBI's taxonomy places the organism in Eukaryota, Metazoa, Chordata, Actinopteri, Salmoniformes, Salmonidae.